This is a long non-coding RNA of Ficedula albicollis (Collared flycatcher), 266 nucleotides long. RefSeq lists it as uncharacterized. The record is from RefSeq and is a predicted model, not a curated record. The transcript has 3 exons. Lineage: Eukaryota; Metazoa; Chordata; Aves; Passeriformes; Muscicapidae.
CGGAGAGGGGCACCGUGGGAGGCACAGCACCUUCCCAUGAUCUUUUUAAAUUUACCAGUGACAGAAUGAUUGCAAAUGUAUAUAAAACAGCUGCUUUCAGAUGCAGGCUUACAGUGACCUGGGCCAUCUGAGCCACAAAUAUCUGUCACUUCUGUCACAGAGAUCCAAAGUGCUGCUCCUGUAUGGAAGGAUACUCUCAAGGCAAUCACUGAUGCUGUCUGUUCCAGGCUUUUUCCCACUCCUUAUGCAUUUUAAUAAGCAAACCA